RNAcentral lists this ribosomal RNA (484 nucleotides) under uncultured bacterium. RNAcentral describes it as "bacterial SSU rRNA". It matches the Rfam family "Bacterial small subunit ribosomal RNA", at positions 49 to 507 of the family's 1533-position model. The record is from RNAcentral.
UAACACAUGCAAGUUGCGCGAGAAAGCUUCCUUCGGGAAGCAAGUAGAGCGGCGCACGGGUGAGUAACACGUGGGUAAUCUGCCCUUGAGUCUGGGAUAACCCGGGGAAACCCGGGCUAAUACCGGAUACGGCCUUGAGAUCUUCGGAUCUCGGGGAGAAAGAUGGCCUCUGCUUGAAUGCUAUCGCUCUAGGAUGAGCCCGCGGCCCAUUAGCUUGUUGGUGAGGUAACGGCUCACCAAGGCUCAGAUGGGUAGCUGAUCUGAGAGGACGAUCAGCCACACUGGGACUGAGACACGGACCAGACUCCUACGGGAGGCAGCAGUGGGGAAUAUUGGACAAUGGGGGCAAACCCUGAUCCAGCAAUGCCGCGUGUGUGAAGAAGGCCUGCGGGUUGUAAAGCACUUUCGGAUGGGAAGAAAAGCUCAAGGCUAAUAUCCUUGAGUCUUGACGUUACUAUCAGAAGAAGCACCGGCUAACUCUGUG